This 128-nucleotide non-coding RNA is filed under the name Oryza rufipogon (brownbeard rice). RNAcentral describes it as "Eukaryotic large subunit ribosomal RNA". It matches the Rfam family "Eukaryotic large subunit ribosomal RNA", at positions 3275 to 3401 of the family's 3401-position model. The record is from Rfam by way of RNAcentral. Lineage: Eukaryota; Viridiplantae; Streptophyta; Magnoliopsida; Poales; Poaceae.
CCCUUCCCAACGGGCGGCGGGCUGAAUCCUUUGCAGACGACUUAAAUACGCGACGGGGCAUUGUAAGUGGCAGAGUGGCCUUGCUGCCACGAUCCACUGAGAUCCAGCCCCGCGUCGCACGGAUUCGU